Small nucleolar RNA from Tursiops truncatus (common bottlenose dolphin), 80 nucleotides. Ensembl annotates it as small nucleolar RNA, C/D box 105B. Its record names the gene SNORD105B. The record is from Ensembl. NCBI's taxonomy places the organism in Eukaryota, Metazoa, Chordata, Mammalia, Artiodactyla, Delphinidae.
CGCUAUGCAGCUGAUGACAGCACGGCUGCUGAGCCUCUGUGAUUGCGUAGUUUCAAAGUAUACGCUCCGAUGGACCAUGG